ACAUGCUGAUAACCCGGCGUAAGUCGCGGUUGUAUUUAUUAGAUAUUAAACCAAUAUGUUAAUAGCAUUUUGAAGGAAUUAUGGUAACUGAUCGAAUCCUCGCUUGUCGAGGAUAAAUCAUUCAAGUUUCUGCCCUAUCAGCUUUCGAUGGUAGUGUAUUGGACUACCAUGGCGAUUACGGGUAACGGAGAAUUAGUGUUCGAUUCCGGAGAGGGAGCCUGAGAAACGGCUACCACAUCUAAGGAAGGCAGCAGGAGCGUAAAUUACCCAAUGUCGACUCGAUGAGCGUAGUGACAAUACAUAACAAAGAGGGGAUUUCAUUAUCUUACUCUAUUGCAAUGAGGCAUGUUUAAUAACCUGUUCGAGCAACCAGUGAAGGGCAAGCCUGGUGCCAGCAGCCGCGGUAAUUCCAGCUUCACGAGUGUAUAUUUAAGUUGUUGCAGUUAAAAAGCUCGUAGUUGAACUUCUUUUUGUUCAGAAGGCGUGCAAGCGCAGUCUGGGCGAAAAUCCGCCUGAAAAAUCAUUCGGGUCUUCACUGAUUCAGUGAUGGAUCAGGCAUUUUACUUUGAAAAAAUUAGAGUGUUCAAAGCAGGCUCACGCCUGAAUACAUUAGCAUGGAAUAAUAGAAUAGGACGCUGUUCAAUUUGUUGGUUAUUGAAUUGCGUAAUGAUUAAUAGGGACAGUUGGGGGCAUUUGUAUUUAAUUGUCAGAGGUGAAAUUCUUGGAUUUAUUAAAGACAAACUUAUGCGAAAGCAUUUGCCAAGGAUGUUUUCAUUAAUCAAGAACGAAAGUUAGAGGAUCAAAGACGAUCAGAUACCGUCCUAGUUUUAACUAUAAACUAUGCCGACUCGGUCUCAGUCAAGUCUUCCUAACUUGAUUGGUGCCGUAUGAGAAAUCAAAGUCUUUGGGUUCCGGGGGGAGUAUGGUCGCAAGGUUGAAACUUAAAGGAAUAGACGGAACAUCACUACCAGGUGUGGAUCCUGCGGCUUAAUUUGACCCAACACGGGGAAACUUACCAGCGCAAAACAAGGGUGGGAUUGACAGAUUGAGAGCUCUUUCUUGAUUCUUUGGAUAGUGGUGCAUGGCCGUUCUUAGUUGGUGGAGUGAUUUGUCUGCUUAAUUGCGUUAACGAACGAGACCUCAACCUACUUACUAGACGCGUGAUUAAUUCAUCGCGUGUUCUUCUUAGAGGGACUGUGCGGAGACAGACGCAAGGAAGUUUGAGGCAAUAACAGGUCUGUGAUGCCCUUA
This 1251-nucleotide ribosomal RNA is filed under the name metagenome. RNAcentral describes it as "SSU rRNA". It matches the Rfam family "Eukaryotic small subunit ribosomal RNA", at positions 169 to 1475 of the family's 1831-position model. The record is from RNAcentral.